Molecule: ribosomal RNA, 253 nt
Filed under: uncultured bacterium
Lineage: Bacteria
Description: partial 16S ribosomal RNA
Rfam family: Bacterial small subunit ribosomal RNA
Source: RNAcentral
UACGUAGGUGGCAAGCGUUGUCCGGAUUUACUGGGCGUAAAGCGCGCGCAGGCGGUUCGGUACGUCCGGCGUGAAAGCUCCCGGCUCAACUGGGAGAGGGCGUUGGAUACGGCCGGACUGGAGGGCGGUAGAGGUCGGUGGAAUUCCCGGUGUAGUGGUGAAAUGCGUAGAGAUCGGGAGGAACACCUGUGGCGAAGGCGGCCGACUGGGCCGUCCCUGACGCUGAGGCGCGAAAGCGUGGGGAGCGAACCGG